Molecule: ribosomal RNA, 532 nt
Filed under: uncultured Aulacoseira
Lineage: Eukaryota; Bacillariophyta; Melosirophyceae; Melosirales; Aulacoseiraceae
Description: bacterial SSU rRNA
Rfam family: Bacterial small subunit ribosomal RNA
Source: RNAcentral
AGUAGCGGACGGGUGAGUAACGCGUGAGAAUUUACCUUUAGGAAGGGAAUAACAAUUAGAAAUGAUUGCUAAUGCCCCAUAUGCUUUAUUAAGUGAAAAGGAUUAUGUCCGCCUGAAGAGAAGCUCGCGUCUGAUUAGCUAGUUGGUGAGGUAAGAGCUUACCAAGGCGACGAUCAGUAGCUGGUUUGAGAGGAUGAUCAGUCACACUGGAACUGAGACACGGUCCAGACUCCUACGGGAGGCAGCAGUGGGGAAUUUUCUGCAAUGGGCGAAAGCCUGACAGAGCAAUACCGCGUGAGGGAUGAAGGCUCGUGGGUCGUAAACCUCUUUUUUCAAGGAGGAAGUUCUGACGUGUACUUGAAGAAUAAGCAUCGGCUAACUCCGUGCCAGCAGCCGCGGUAAGACGGAGGAUGCAAGUGUUAUCCGGAAUCACUGGGCGUAAAGCGUCUGUAGGUGGUUUAAUAAGUCUAUUGUUAAAGUUUGAGGCUUAACUUCAAAUCAGCAAUAGAAACUGUUAGGCUUGAGUAUGGUA